RNAcentral lists this small nuclear RNA (22 nucleotides) under Arabidopsis thaliana (thale cress). RNAcentral describes it as "snRNA_17069". The record is from RNAcentral. Lineage: Eukaryota; Viridiplantae; Streptophyta; Magnoliopsida; Brassicales; Brassicaceae.
GGUUCACGAGUACAUGGCACCA